GUUUAGUGGCACACUAUUUUAGUCCCAGCUACUUAGGAGGCCGAGGUGGGAGGAUCACUUGAACCCAGAAGUUAUGGGCUACAGUGCACUAUGCCAAUCAGGUGUCUGCACUAAAUUCAGCAUCAAUGGUGACCUCCCAGGAGCAGGGGACUACCAGGAUGCCUAAGGAGGGGUGAACUGGCCCAAGCGGGAAAGAGCAGGUCAAAACUCCCGUGCUGAUCAGUAGUGGGAUCACAACUGUGAAUAGCUACUAUUCUUCAUCCUGGGUAACAUAGCAAGACUUCUAUCUCUU
This is an unclassified non-coding RNA of Callithrix jacchus (white-tufted-ear marmoset), 292 nucleotides long. It matches the Rfam family "Metazoan signal recognition particle RNA". From Rfam's summary of the family: The signal recognition particle (SRP) is a universally conserved ribonucleoprotein. It is involved in the co-translational targeting of proteins to membranes. Lineage: Eukaryota; Metazoa; Chordata; Mammalia; Primates; Cebidae. The record is from Ensembl.